CUCCAUAUGCCACGGGAGCAGCCCUAGAAAAGGCAAAAAGACAAAAAAUAAAUAAAUAAAUAAUAAAAAUUAGAUGGCUUAAUUUGGCCUCACUUUUCUGCUUCAUCUUACUCUUCCUAUUAGAUACCUUUUUAAGCUUUUUAUUGAAUCAUACACAGGGAAAAGUACAUAAAUCAAAAUAAAUGUAAAAUGUACAACUCCCCAAUAAAUAGUGAGCAUUCCCAUGUAACCAGCACCCUGGUCAAGAAACAAAACAUGACCAGUUCCCCAAAAGCCCCCUUCAUUCCCUCCAGUCCCUAUAUACCUUUUUUUUUUUUUUUUUUAAGGCCAAGACCACAGCAUGCAGACCUGAACCACUGCAGUGACAACAACAGAUCCUUAACCCACUAAGCCACACAGGAACUCCCCCUUAAAGGGAAACACAAUCCUGACUUUUUUUCUUUUUGGCCACACUUUUCGGCAUAUAGAAGUUCCCAGGCCAGGGGUCAAAUCCAGGCUGCAGGUGCAACCUACACCACAGCUGCAGCAACAUGGAUUUCUUAACCCACUGUGCCACAGUGGGAACUCCCCAAAAUCAUGACUUUUUUUUUUUCUUUUUAUGGCACACCUGCAGCAUAUGGAUGUUCUCAGGGUAGGUGUUGAAUCGGAGCUGCAGCUACAGGCCUACACCACUGCCCCAGCAACACCAGAUCCUUAACCCACUGAGCUAGGCCAGGAAUCAAACCCACAUCCUCACAGACAAUAUGUUGGGUUCUUAACCUACUGAGCCACAGUGGGAACUCCCCUGACUUUCAAUAGAUUGGUUUUGCUUUUGAACAUUAUAUUAAUGAAAUCAUACAGUAUGUAUUUUUAUGACUUGAUUAUUUUACUUUGAACAUUUGAGUUGUUCUAAUUUGGAGCAAUUAUAGAGCUGCUAUGAACACAUGUUUCAAUGAACAUGAGAAUGCAUUUCAGUUGGAUAUAUGUACCUAAGAGUGGAAUUGCUGGGCUAUAGGGUUUUAAUUUCAUUUAGCUUUAAUAUAUAGUGCCACCAGUUUUCCAAAGUAUGGUUGUACCAAUUUACUCUCCCACCAGCCAUACAAAAGAGCUUUUAAAUUGUUAAGUCACAGGUUUGGGGAACAUGAUUGGACUGAACACAAAUCUGAAUAAAUGAAGGCCACUGUUCACUCCUGUGACAAUGCUUUAAUUUAUAGAAACUGGACUUCUUCAGUGGGCUUCAGAGGGUCUCUGCAUACCCUAAAAUAUAUUUCCGGGAGUUCCACUGUGGCUCAGCAUAACAAACCUGACUAGUAUCCAUAGGAUGUGGGUUCGAUCCCUGGCUCUUCCCAGUGGGUUAAGGAUCUGGCAUUGCCAUGAGUUGUAGUGUAGGUCACAGACUUGGUUCAGAUCCUGGGUUGCUGUGGCUGUGGUGUAGGCUGGAGGAUACAGUUCCAAUUGGAACCCUAGUCUGGAACUUCCAUAUGCUGCGAGUGCAGCCCUUAAAAAAAAAUCAGAUUUCCAUACUUUGGAAAACUGGUAUCAGUAUAUGCUAAAGCUGAAUGUAAUCCAAUACACAGAGACACAUUAAGAAUAUCUGCUU
Molecule: long non-coding RNA, 1579 nt
Filed under: Sus scrofa (pig)
Lineage: Eukaryota; Metazoa; Chordata; Mammalia; Artiodactyla; Suidae
Description: lncRNA (multiple genes)
Source: RNAcentral